CGUCUCUUUGCUGGCCUCAGGAUCGCUGUCAUCAGUCAAGGCUGCCGGAGGGUUGUUUUCACGAGUUCUCUCAAAUGCUGCAGGAGCUUAGGAACAGGUGACCUGAACUUGAGACUUCCUGACCUGGUCUCUGAAUGAAAUAAGAGGAGGUGACAGGCUCUGUACCAGCAACUUUUGUGUCCCCUGAGGGUGGGGAUCCUGUGAGGCCGGGGAAGCACAAUUGUCCUGUCCCUGGGCACGAGGCCAGCUGCAGCGAGACAGGUUCACAGGUGGAGGGGUGAUCACGGAAGGGCGUGCCCGGGCUUUGGAAAACUGGAGAAAGUUGGUCCUUGGAUGGGGUGUGGAAAGAACAUGAGCUAUGGGUGGGGAGGAGCCAGGAUGAUUGACAGCUCUGAGCAGUGAAGGAAAAACUGUCUCCCCAAGUAGAGAUCUGAGGUUUCCACAGUACAGUAGGAGCUGAGUCUGUCACAUGGACUGGGUGGUCACCUGGCACAUUCCAGCAAAAGUGCUGCCCCCUGGAAGCCAAGGCCAUCCAUGCAGUUGAGCCAGUGGCCACUACAAGAUUUUGAAUUUUGAGGCAAUGAUUCCACAAAGGGCAUUAUAAACAGUUUGCAUCCACUUGCCUUCCUAGAAAACAGGAGCUGCCUUCGAGAUCUGUUCUGGCAUUGGAAGCAUCCCAAGGUUUCCAGGGUGUGAAUACUGACUUGUCAACCAAAGGGCACGCUCCUCAUUCUCUCAAUGCCUAUCCUGCCUCUUCCAACCCAGGGUUGUGCCACCAUUUUAUCCAUUAAGCCCAGCCCCUGCCUUGUCAGUCCCACCCCAAUACACCAAGGACACUGAACUGGGGUUCUGCAGCAUCUUUGCUGAAAAAAAAUGAAAGGAUAGUUUCAAUCCCAUAGCCCCUGUCAUCACCUCUCAUCACACUCUACUGCCAUGAUCUCCUGAAGCAUGUGAACCUCCGUGACCUCCCUCACAAAUGUCCCCAGGCAUUGCUGAUGUGGCUGCAUAGCAUGGAUGGUCAGGAGACUGUCCAGUGAAUCUUGCAAACUCCUCCUCCCCCAACCUCAGCCAGGAGAUCACUCCUGGGUGAAGUCCUCCCAUCUCAAGCACAGUGAGGCUGUGGGUUGCAGGCUUCAGGACUGGCAUUCCUCUUGGGUAAAGCUUGCCCAUCUGCCACUCAAGAAGACUUUGAAAGUUUGAGUGGGGACCUCAUCUUAUUUACCUUGUCUUCAGUGCCCAGGAUGGUGUAAACAACACCCAGCACAUGUGGUAGGCUGAAUGGAAUGAGCUAACGGAACAGUCAAUGCCCUGACUAGCCCCACUUCCCCCUGAGGAACAGAGCAUUUUGCCUCUCACUAAGUGACUUUCACAAUUCCCCCAUAAGGCCUAGUCUAAGGACACAUAAUUCUUGUCUUGCUGACAGUUCCCAACAGGAUCCUAGAGAGGCUGUUGGUGUGCUAUGGAGAAUACCCCAAACCUCUUCCUUGCCCAUCUCGCUUACAGAGUUGAGCUGCCAGAAGCCAGUCCAGAGCUCGCACUCUGGGCUCAGAGAUCCCCAGUGCCUAUCAGUCUAUUCACCUUCCAGCUCAUGUGAGAACUGUGAAGCCUCCACUUCCUCAAAUACCCACAGCACUGGGCUUUUGCGGGUUGUGAAUGAGAGAAGACCUCCUGAACUCCAAGCAAAGCAUCCAGCCCGCUCUAAACAUCCCCACAAGGAUGCCCACGGCUCCCAUUGCAGUUGCCUUUCUCCCUGCAGGCGGAAUUGAUCUCCUUCCUCUCAAAUAGGGCAGGAAGAUGCUCUGCUGUGCCUGGGAGAUGUCACCAAGGACACAAGAGAAAACUCUGG
This 1846-nucleotide long non-coding RNA is filed under the name Equus caballus (horse). RNAcentral describes it as "lncRNA (ENSECAG00000040382.3)". The record is from RNAcentral. Lineage: Eukaryota; Metazoa; Chordata; Mammalia; Perissodactyla; Equidae.